ACUACGGGAGGCAGCAGUGAGGAAUAUUGGUCAAUGGGCGGAAGCCUGAACCAGCCAAGUCGCGUGAGGGAAUAAGGCCCUACGGGUCGUAAACCUCUUUUGCCGGGGCGCAAGGGCGGGGACGUUUCCCGGCCCGGAGAGUACCCGGAGAAAAAGCAUCGGCUAACUCCGUGCCAGCAGCCGCGGUAAUACGGAGGCUGGGAGCGUUAUCCGGAUGUAUUGGGUUUAAAGGGUGCCUAGGCGGGCUUUUAAGUCAGCGGUAAAAUGUCGGGGCUCAACCCCGUCCGGCCGUUGAAACUGGGGGCCUUGAGUGGGCGAGAAGAAGGCGGAAUGCGUGGUGUAGCGGUGAAAUGCAGAGAUAUCACGCAGAACCCCGAUUGCGAAGGCAGCCUUCCGGCGCCCUACUGACGCUGAGGCACGAAAGUGCGGGGAUCGAACAGGAUUAGAUACCCGAGUAGUC
RNAcentral lists this ribosomal RNA (460 nucleotides) under uncultured bacterium. RNAcentral describes it as "partial 16S ribosomal RNA". It matches the Rfam family "Bacterial small subunit ribosomal RNA", at positions 338 to 795 of the family's 1533-position model. The record is from RNAcentral.